RNAcentral lists this long non-coding RNA (7453 nucleotides) under Homo sapiens (human). RNAcentral describes it as "non-protein coding lnc-ANKRD20A4-5:4". The stretch from base 2834 to 2914 matches the Rfam family "mir-4477 microRNA precursor family". Lineage: Eukaryota; Metazoa; Chordata; Mammalia; Primates; Hominidae. The record is from RNAcentral.
AAAACAGACAACUACCUGAGUCUCGGCUCAUUGCUCUCUGGGGAAUUCGCUCAUUCCUUCGGAAACGGAAUUGGUCUGAAUUGCUCCGGGAUGAAGUAACCCAGGCUGGUGAUCCAGAGGGCCGCUGAGCGCCCCGCCGGCCAACGGGGCUGUGGGCCCAGCACUCAGCCUGUACUGGGCACCCAACAUAUUCCCGGAGUUCUGGGUCCUGUUGGUUCUGGAGGCAUAAGACAUUUUUUGUCUCUGCCUUCUGUUCUCUGUUUCUUGCUCCUUUUGUCUCUCCGUCCAUCCUUCCAUCUGUUCUACCCUCCCUCCCCUGGCUUUUUCCUCCCUUUCUCCCUCCCUCCCUCUUUCUCUCCCUUCCGGGGUCCCUCCUUCCACCCAUCCUUGCCUAGCUCCAUCCUUCCAUCUCACUCUGUCUCUGUUCCUGUCCUCAUCUCUGCCUGCCUUCCCUCUUGCCUGGAAAGGGCAGCACCCUGGUUUGCGCGAGGUCUCGGGUCUUUAUUUAGUUGUAAGGCGCUCUAUGGUGCUGGCGAGGAGGCUGGCGGGACACGGGUUGGCAAGUGAUGGUGAGCGAAGAGGCGGAGGAGUUGAGCCACAGAAAGGAGAACUGGCCUGGAUUCUGCCCCGGCCCAGUGUUUCGCGGACUGAGGUCUCCGCCAACCCGAUUGAAGAACGCGGGGGGGAAAGGGAGGAGAGCUCCGCCUGGGCUAGUUAGAAGACUAGGCUGCUGCCUGGAAACCCGCGCAUGCGCAGUAGACAGCCCACCUCCCUGUACCUGGACCGGCCCUGGGAUCCCCGGGAUGCUCAGGAAUGCUUUCUUUUCAUUGUUGACAGCCCUACUCUGUGUGGAGUCUCUCGCUGGACCUGGAACUCAGGGAUCCUAGGGAGGUCAGCUGGAAGGGAAGACACGCCUCUCCAUACCAAGCCUGAGGUUCACUGCAAAAGAGAGGCCGCCGCCCUGCCCCCACCCUGCCCCCACCCUGCCCCAAACCCGCCCCAACCUGCUCCUCCAGCAGAGCCCUGUGUUCUUCCUGUCUGAGGAGUGGUUCCAGCAAAGCGGGCUCUUCCACGUCCUUCAGCUCCCCCAGUGGCGCCGGAUCUAGGAAAGGUUGUGCCUUUUGCUGAAACUCUGGGGUUGACAGGAGCUCAUCUAACAGGCUGGAGGUGAGUGCAGACGAGAGCCCCGGCUCCUGGAGCGGUUGGGAGGUGCCCGGUUGGCUGGCAUCUGCGCUUGACGCGGAGGCCUCCGGGGUCACGAGCUCGGGAGGUGAAGGUGCCCCGUCUUCGGGUUCCCAUGCCGCCCUGGCGACCUGGGGCUCCAGCCCCACCACGGACUCCGGUGGGACGUGGGUGGUGCAAGCACACCUUUCCCCUGUGACUCAGCUUGAGGGGCCCCAAGCUGUCCCACUGAGCACGCGCCCAGCAGGCCGUCGCGCUGUGGGUUCUGGUCUUCCUGUCAUUUGUUGGGGUUCGGAGGCCACCAGGGAGUCUGAGGAUGGGAGAGCCCCAGUUUCGGAGGGAGGGGCCAGGACAGUGAACACAAAGCCCCGCAUGCUCGGGCAGGUUGGGAGAGUCCUUCUGCCUGUGCAGCCUGGCUGGGCUGGAGCAGGGGGAUGACCCUUGCUUCCUGGCUCACGAAAGCCCCCUGUGGGAGAGCCCCAGGAGCGCAGGGCAUGUGGGGUGCAGGAAGCGACGUUCCCCACGCCCCGGUGUAGGUGAACCCGAUAGAGGAGGGAGGAGGGUGACACCCACCAGGGGUGCUAAUUAGUAACCACAGUGGCCUCAAAGAACUCAAAUGAAAGGAAGACUUGCAAGUCUCUCACUUUAAGUCCAGAGCUAGAAAUGAUUAAGCUUAGUGAAGAUGUAGAAUUUUCAUAGCUAGAGAGAAGUCAACACUUGGCUUCAGAACUUCAAAGGAUGGGCUGACUCUCUUUGAGGACCACUGCAGCUGGUGACUUUAGGUUACAGCCAGUGCUCAUUGACCACUCUGAAAAUCUCAGGGCCCUUAAGAAUUAUGCAAAAUCUAUUCUUUCUGUGCUCUAGAAAUGGAACAUCACUGUCUGGGUGACAGCACAUCUGUUAAUAGCAUGGUUUACUGAAUAUUUUAAUCCCACUAUUGAGACCUACUGCUCAGAAAAAAAAAAAAAACGAUUCUUUUAAAAAGAUUGUUGGUUGGCCAGGCAUAGUGGCUCAUACUUGUAAUCCCUGCACUUUGGGAGGCUGAGGAUCACCUGAGGUCAGGAGUUCAAGACCAGCCUGGCCAAAAUGAUGAAACCCCAUCUCUAAUAAAAAUACAAAAAAAAUUAGCCAGGCAUGGUGGUAGUACCUGUAAUUUCAGCUACUCGGGAGGCUGAGGCAGAAGAAUGGCUUGAACCCUGGAGGCAGAGGUUGCAGUGAGCCGAGACCGCACCACUGUACUCCAGCCUGGGCAACAAGAGUGAAACUACGUCAAAAAAAAAAAAAAAAAAAAAAAAAAAAAAAAAAAAAAAGAAAAAGAAAAGAAAGAAAAGAAAGAAAAAGAAAAAAUCAAAGGAAAGAAAAGGAAAAAAGAAAAAAAGAUUGCUGCUUAUUGACAAUUCACCUAGCUCCCCAGAAGCUUAGAUGGAGAUGUACUUGGAAAUUAAUGUUAUUUUCAUGGCUGCUAGUACAAUAUUUACCUUCAGCCUGUGGAUCAAGGAGUGGUUUUGACUUUCAAGUGUUUUUAUUAAUUAAUAAUUGCAUUUUGUAAAGGUAUAGCUGUCAUAGAUAGUGAUUUCUUUGAUGAAUCUGGAUAAACUGAAUUGAAAACCUUUUGGAAAGGAUUCACCAUUAAUCCUUUCAUGAUAUUUGAACCUCCUCCCGUGAAUCACAAAUGUCCUUAAUAGCAAUCCUUAAAUGCCAUUAAGGACAUUUGUGAUUGAUGGGAGGAGGAUGAAAUAUUAACAUUAACAGGAGUUUGGAAGAAGUUGAUUCCAGCCCUCAUGGAUGACUUUGAGGGCUCAGGAUGUCAGUGGAGGAAGUCCCUGCAGAUGUGGUAGAAAUCACAAGACAACUAGAAUUAGAAUUAGGGCCUUAAGGUGAGAUGAAAUUGCUGUAAACUCAUGAUGAAACUUGAACAAAUAGGGAGUUGCUUCUUAUGGACGAGCAAAGAAAAUAUUUUCUUGAGAUGGAAUAUAAUCCAGGUGGAGAUGCUAUCAACAUUGUUGAAAUGACAACAAAGGAUUUAGAAUAUUCCAUAAACCUAGUUGAUAAAGCAGCAGCAGGGUUUGAGAGGGUUUACUCCAAUUUUGAAAGAAGUUCUACUGUUGAUAAAAUGCUGUCAAACAGCAUCACAUGCUACAGGGAAAUCUUUUGUGAAAGGAACAAACUUCAUUGUUUUAAAAAAUUGACACAGGUUUCCAACCUUCAGCAGCCCCCACGCUGAUUAGCCAGCAGUCAUCAAUAUAGAGGCAAGACUCUCACCAGCAAAAAGAUUAUGACGUGGUAAGUCUCAGAUAUUCAUUAGCAUUUUUUAGCUCUGACGUAUUUUAACUUAAGGUAUGUACACAGUUUUUUAGACAUGCUAUUAAUUAAUAACUAAUAAUUAUUAAAUACUCAUUAGACUACAAUAUAGUUUAAGCAUAACUUUUAUAAGCACCGGGAAAUAAAAUGUUUAUGCAACUAACUUGAUUGUAACAUUUGCCUUAUUGAAGUGUUCUGGAACAAAACUUACACUAUCUCUGAGGUGUGCUUGUAGGUUUUUGUUUGUAACAUUUGCCUUACUGCAGUUGUCUGGAACCAAACCCACAAUAUCUCUGAGUAUGCUUCUAGGUUUUUGGUUGUUCUUUGUUUUGAGAUGGGGUUUCGCUCUGUCGCCUAGGCCAGAGUGCAGUGGCAUGAUCAUAGCUCACUGCAGCCUCAAACUGCUGGGUCAAGUGAUUUUUCUACCACAGCCUCCUGAGUAGCUUGGACUACAGGCAUGCAGCACUAUGCCUAGCUAUUUUUUUUUAAAUACUUUUUUUGUAGAGACGGGAUCUCACUAUGUUGCCCACCUGGUCUUGAACUCUGGGGCUCAGGCAAUCCAGCCACUUCAGCCUCCCAAAAUGCAGACAUUACAGGCUUGAGCAACUGCACCCAGCUUGUCUGCAGUUCUUAAAACAAAACGGCCAGGUGCGGUGUGUGACGCCUGUAAUCCCAGCACUUUGGGAGGCCAAGGCGGGUGAAUCACAAGGUCAGGAGUUCAAGACCAGCCUGGCCAAGAUGGUGAACGCAGUCUCUACUAAAAAUACAAAAAUUAGCCAGGCACAGUGGCGGGCACCUGUAGUUCCAGCUACUCGGGAGGCCGAGGCAGGAGACUCGCUUGAACCCGGGAGGCGGAGGUUGCAGUAAGCCGAGAUCGUGCCACUGCACUCCUGCCUUGCGACAGAGCAAGACUCCAUCAAAAAAAAAUGUAAUUUAAAAGAUUAAAAGUUAAGAUAGAUUUUUACAAAUGUAUAUAUCUACCAUUAUAGUAUCAUACAGAAUGGUUUUACUGCCGUGAAGAUUCUCUGUGCUCUGUGUAUCCAUCUCUUCCUUCCCCUUGGUCCAUGGCAACCACUGAUCUUUCUACUGAUCCCAUAGUUUCACCGUUUCCAGAACGUCAUAUAAUUGGAAUCGAACAGUACGUAGACUUUUCGGAUUGGCUUCUUCUUUUAGCAAUAUGCAUUUAAGUUUCCUCCAUGUAUUUUUUUGUGGCUUGAUAGUUCAUCUCCUGUUAGCAGUGAAUAAUAUCCCGUUGCCAUUAUACUUUUGUCAAGACUCAGAACGUACAACGUGAAGAGUAAACGUGAAUGUGCACUGUAAGCUUUGAGUGAUAAUGAAGGAUCAAGGUAGGUUCCUGGUUGUCACAGGUGUGCUCCUGUGAGGCAGGAAGCUGUAGUGGGGAGGCUGUGUGUGGGGAAAGGGACAUAUGAGAAGUCUGUACUCUCUGCUACGUUUAGCUGUGAACCUGCACUUCUCUAAAAAAUAAAAUUAGUUAAAAUUAAAAGCAAAAAAUUAGAAAAAUUAAAACAUUACAAUGUGUUAUAUAGUUUUCAAAUCACAAGACAGAAAAAGACAUAAUAAAAGAAACUAUAGAAAACAACAAGGAUAGGAAUAAAACAUCAGUGAUAGAAGGCAGAAGACAGAAAUGUGGAGCCAAACACAUUAAUUUAUUUUAAUCAUUAGUUAUACUCAUUUAUACUAAUUUAUAUUGAUUUAACAUAUUAAUUCUGACUAAAUGGCAUUAAAGGAGGUCUGAGGAAUUUGCAUGUCACAUUCUGGAUGACAGGACUCAAUAAUAUUAACUCUUUAGUUGGCUGUAAAUCAUUUAAAAAUAUGCUCAAAUUCCAAUAAAAAUUCCAAGAAAAAUAUUUUCGAACAAGAACAUGUGAUUUUAAAUCCAUAUAUUGAACACACACAUACAAUGAGAGCCAUUAUUAUAAAAUUUACUAUAAGAUAUUUAAGAUUAUUAUCACUAUCCAAAAUUAAACAAAUUUGAAAUGGCACAAAAAUAAACACAUUAAUGAAAGAGAAUUAAAAACACAGAAAUUGAGUGUAAUUUUAUCUAGUAACAGGGUAACAUUUUAAACCCACAAAACAGAGCGAUUGUUCCAUUUGUGGUAUUAAAAUAUUGGGUAAUGAUUUCAGAAUAUAAAAUGACAGAAUUGAAUCAUGGUCCUACACCUUACAUAAAAGUUAAUUCCAGUAUUAAAUGUAAAAAAAAAAGAGAGAGAAAAAAGAAAAUUAGAUGUGUGUGUUUUAUGACCUUGAGAAUGAAUGUCUUCUAAAACCAAAAUUUCAAACAGAAACCAUAUAAAAAGGAAUAAACCUAACGUACCUAAUAUGUAAAUUCUUAAACAUUUUAACACCAGGUAAAUAGCACAAAACAAACUGGGGAAACUUUUACAGCAAUUAUGUUACAUGAAAGUUAAAAUCCUUAUGACAUAUACAAUGUAUAAAACAAUAUGAUUACUGCUAUUAUUAAUAGCAUUAUGAUUACCUGGUCUUCCCACGCACCAGUCCUCUUCUGGUGCCCUGUGGUGAAACAGAGCCCUCCCUCUCUGGCCACAGUGAGGGAUCCAGCAGGAACCCGUGCCUAAACCCACAGAGGGUGUGAGCCAAGCCAGGACAUCACAUUCCCUCCUGCGAAAUGAUGCAGAUACCCACUCACGACAGAGAUUUGGUCCCUCUCUGGAAAAGCUGUGUAACAAUUAUUGCAGAAACUUGUUUCUUAUGUUCCCAGACACAUGGAGAAAGCUGGUCUGGAAGACUGAUGUCCACAUGCUAAAAGCAGUCACUCAUAACACACACACUGCACACACCACACCAUGUGCACAUGCACACACACCCCACACACAGACACCACACAAACAGCACACACACCAUGUGCGCAUGCACACACACACCCCAUACCCACUGCCCACACCCCACAAACACACCUACUGCACACACACCAUGUGCACAUGCAUACACCCCAUACAGACACCACACACAGACACCACACUGCACCCACACCAUGUAUACAUGCACACACCCCACACACUGUACACACACGAUGUGCACACAUGCAUACCUCUGACACCACACACACUGUGUACACAUCAUGUGCACACACACCCCCCCACAGACAUCACACACACCACACAGUACAUGUACCCGUGCACAUACCCCCACACCACACACGAAUCUACUACACAUACAUCACACACAUACAGCACCACACACAUCACACACCCCAUACAUACUCCCCACACACACCACACACCCCACACAUACUCCCCACACACUGCACACGUACAUACAGUGCCACACACAUAGAGCAAACACAUACCUCACAUACAUACACCACACCACACACACAUUCUACAAACACAUCAAGCACACAUCAAACACUACACACACUGCACACACACAGCAUCAUACACACACAAAACACACACAUCACAUACACCACACACAUAUCACAUGCACACAUCACAUAUAGUACACAUACACACCAAACACACAUACACCACAAACACAGCACAUAUACACACCAUGCACCACCCACAUACUACACACAGUAUACACACAUAACACCCACAAUACACUCCACACACACAUAUACAUACCCCGUGUACCUACUACACACACAGACCACACACACAUAUCAUGCAUACACCUGCACACACCUCACAGAAUACAUACAAUCCUCACUUUUAGAAAUUAAUUUGGCUUUUAAGGAGCCUGGAUAGUAAAGUAUUUUAUUGGCGUUUGAGUGAGCCAAGAAAAUGCGUAUAAAUACACAUGCAUAACUAUGAGGGCCCAAGCAGCACUUUCGAAAUCACAACAUGAGAUUAAACCGUGUAAAUUUUUUAUUGUUUUUAAAAAGUCAACUCUUUCUCAUUUUACUAGAAACUAUUUACCAGAGUAAACUAAUGAGAUUCUUCCUGAGGUCAAAAGACUUUCUGGAAAAACUUCUCCUUGAUGAAAU